GCCGCAACAUCCCCGUGAGCGGGUUCCGCAAGGAAAGCGCGCUCACUGCGGC
Molecule: non-coding RNA, 52 nt
Filed under: unclassified sequences
Description: nadA RNA
Rfam family: nadA riboswitch
Source: RNAcentral